GAUGAACGCUGGCGGCGUGCUUAACACAUGCAAGUCGAACGGAAAGGCCCCGUUGGGGGUACUCGAGUGGCGAACGGGUGAGUAAGACGGGAGUAACCGGCCCUUGACUGCGGGUGAACUACAGGAAACUGGGGCUAAUACCGGCUAGGAAUCCUUGCUGCAUGGGGGGGGUUGGAAAGCAUCGGCGGUUUUGGAUGGACUGGCGGCUGAUCAGCUUGCUGGUGGGGUAGUGGCUUACCUAGGGUUUGACGGGUAGCCGGCCUGAGAGGGCGACCGGCCACAUUGGGACUGCGCCUCCGGCCAGCCUCCUUCGGGGGGCCGCAGUGGGGGAUGUUGGCCAAAGGGCGGCAGCCUGAUGCCGCGACGCCGCCUGCGGGAUGACUGCCUUGCGGUUGUGAGCCGCUUUCAGCAGGGGCGAAGCUUGUAGUGACGGUACCUGCAGAAGAAGCACCGGCUAACUACGUG
RNAcentral lists this ribosomal RNA (465 nucleotides) under uncultured bacterium. RNAcentral describes it as "partial 16S ribosomal RNA". It matches the Rfam family "Bacterial small subunit ribosomal RNA", at positions 28 to 507 of the family's 1533-position model. The record is from RNAcentral.